RNAcentral lists this ribosomal RNA (492 nucleotides) under uncultured bacterium. Its description in RNAcentral is "partial 16S ribosomal RNA". It matches the Rfam family "Bacterial small subunit ribosomal RNA", at positions 29 to 507 of the family's 1533-position model. The record is from RNAcentral.
AAUGAACGCUGGCGGCAUGCCUAACACAUGCAAGUCGAACGACAGCACAGGAAGAGCUUGCUCUUGCGGGUGGCGAGUGGCGGACGGGUGAGAAAUACAUCGGAUACUACUUUGACGGGGGUGAUAACGUAGGAAAACUUCUGCUAAUACCUCAUAUAUCGUACGGGUUGGAGCAAGAGUUCUACGGGCUUUUCGCGACUGUAAGAGCCGAUGUCGGAUUAGCUAGUUGGCGGGGUAAAGGCACACCAAGGCGACGAUGCGUAGCUGAUCUGAGAGGGUGAUCAGCCACACUGGAACUGAGACACGGUCCAGACUCCUACGGGAGGCAGCAGUGGGGAAUCUUGCGCAAAGGGCGAAAGCCUGAUCUAGCAACACCGCGUGAGUGAUGAAGGUCUUCGGGUGGUAAAGCUCUGUUGUUGGGAAAGAAAAAAAGCAGGUUUAUCCACGGUUGUCUUGACGGUACCCAAAGAAUAAGCACCGGCUAACUUCGUG